CAAGUGUAUGAUAUACCCUGAUACAAUUCCCAGGAUGCAAUCCUGCUUUUCUAGGACAUCUAUAGAUUUGGACAUGAAAGAAUGUCGAGUCAUAAUCGACAGGAGUGCAAAGGAUUAAUAUUAGCAAGAUCGCUAAUGACACAAAUGAAAUUGUACAAGUAAACUUGUGAGUUCCCUAACAUUAUUAAUCGGCAAAUUAUUAUACAAGUAGUUGCAGAUGAAUUAUUUCAUCUUUAAGAAAAGGAUCAUCGAUAUCCCAGACGAGGCAACCAACAUCUGCCAGCGUUCUCAUCCCCUAAAAGGUAUACCAACUACUUACCAAAAAAUCAUCUUCCUCGACAUGGUCUAGUUUCGAAUCUGUUUCGCGGAUCUCGCAAGGAAGGAGCGUCUCUAGUUUCUCUCGUUCUCCGGUUAGACAAGGAAUUGGAAAAAGUGGUGGACACGGGCCAGGAUCCGUAUCUUCUUCGGUUCUGGCCUUCUCCCCUUUUGUCGCGGGUCUUUGUGAGAGGUUGUCCGGCCGUCGUUACGUCACGCCGCCACGACGUUCCUCUAACAAGGUAACGAUGAUUUCCACCUCGUCCGCGACUGAUUUUCGUCGGAAUCGUUGGGGUCUCGAACGUUGGAUUAGCAAUCCAGAAGCCGGUCGUUCAGAGAGAGGAGAGACAGUGGAGAUACGAGGCGAUGCGAGAGCGCACCUGAGCGUACCAACGAGCCCGUCCAGAUCCUAACGAGUGCGACAAGGACGGUAUUAGGCGAGCCGGUAAUAAGCCGAGCCAAUGGGAGAGUCAGAGAGGGUUGCAUGUCCCCUGGGACGAGUUGAAAGAGGACAUGGCGAACCCACCUAAAGUAGAUUCGUGCCGAGCGGCGUGCCGGUGUAUAAUGAUGCGGUGGCGCGCGCGCGAGUGAGCGAGCGAACUGCGAACCAAAGAGUCAGAGGACGAUGGAAAGAAGCAAGAGAGCGAAAGAGGAACGACGGGAAACGAAACUCUGGGACGAGUACCGAGGCUUGGCUGAGGAGCGACGCAGCGAGGAUGCGUGUCGUUCCUUCGUUCCUCUUCGUCUGAGGUUUACUCGCGAGCGACCGAGACGAGCGAGAACGACGGAACAGCCAGAGCGAGGAGGCUAACAAUGAAGGGCAGAGGAGAGAAAACAAGAAAAAAACGCGACGAGGAAGAAAGAAGAAGAAGAAGAAGAAGAAGAAGACGAAGAAGACGAGCAGAGGGGGAAGCUUCGAGUGUCGGCACCUCGCCGCUAGAGCGGACCACACACGUCGAUGAGUGGCUCUCAACUCGUGGAUCUCUUGCAGAUUUAAACUGGCCGAAAUGCUUGUAAUGUCACGCCUGAAUCUUUGUCGUCGACCACUUUCUUGCGAAGGGUGCUUUUAGGCUCGUCUAGCUUUGUUAUCGAGGAAAGAGGUCUUUUAAGAUUUGACUUAAAUGGAUUUAUGGGUUUGGCCGAGGGGAAGGAUCUUAAUUGUUCCUUUAUACAGGCUUUUGUUUAGUUGUGCCGUUUCUUUAGAUUCCGCAGAUUCGUUUGUGUCUUUAUCUUUGCUCUCUGUUGUCGUUUCACCGAAGCAACAAGGAUCGAAUAGAACUUUUUCGAGUACGUUACAAUUAUCUUUUUAUUAGAUCGGUCAUUAAAUUUCUUGACAAAACAUAAACAUUUGUUUGCUAAUUCAUGCAAAGUUUGGCAAAAUACUAGCUUCGAAAACGCAUGAAACGUUCGGA
This 1727-nucleotide unclassified non-coding RNA is filed under the name Bombus terrestris (buff-tailed bumblebee). RNAcentral's name for it is "misc RNA ENSBTSG00005029873.1". Lineage: Eukaryota; Metazoa; Arthropoda; Insecta; Hymenoptera; Apidae. The record is from RNAcentral.